Tetranychus urticae (two-spotted spider mite) is the source of this 3821-nucleotide RNA transcript. RefSeq lists it as uncharacterized. NCBI's taxonomy places the organism in Eukaryota, Metazoa, Arthropoda, Arachnida, Trombidiformes, Tetranychidae. The record is from RefSeq and is a predicted model, not a curated record.
ACUUCUUGAUAAUUUACAGAUUGCAUCCUUUAUUGGUUUACCAGUUGGGUACAUACGUAGUGUUAAAAUAUACACCCCAACUCAAAACAAUAGCCUUUACAAUCAAGAAAAUCACUUACGAAAUUCACCUAUCUCAGAACUUCUCACACCGAUACCAGUGAAUGAAACUUUUAAUCAAAGUCUAAAUGAUGGCGACUGUUUCUUUCUUCUUGCAUUACUUGGUUUAAUAAAUCACGAAUGUUUUUUCGAUUUCCAAAUUUGUCUUUAUAACCCAGAAAUGGAAGGUAUUAGUGCUAUACAGUGUGACAGAUUCAUUUGUCAUUACACAGUUACCAGACUUUGGCUGAAUAAAAGAAAAAAAAUCAUACUAAAUUCUGAAUUAAUGGCGAAAAUCAGAGCUGGAUUUCCUGAACAAAGAUAUUCGUAUGAUGGCGAUGAAUGGGCGAAAACUUUAGUUAACUUCAAUAUUAGACAAUAUUAUACUCCAUGUUGUCGUUUGAUGAUGGGGAUAUUUCCACAGAGGAGUCUUUAUUUACGGCAUCGGGGUUAAUACCAUCUGAUAUGUAUGAUUUGAUCAUUUUUAACUUAACUUGCAACUUAUUUAAUGUAAAAAAAUUAGAUACUUUGGUCCAAAGUCUUUGGAAACAAAUUGAUCGCCACCUUUUGAGUUAAAAAUGAAUCAGCAUCAGUCUAUAUUGUCACCAUCAUAUCAUCUGAUAUUAAAAUAUUCAAAGUAAUUUUACUUCAAAGGUGCUUCUCUUUUUCAAUAAUACAAUUAUUAUAAAACCUUUUUUUGUUUUCCAACUAAUUAAUUUAACUUUUACAAGCCGUGUUCCAUCUAAUUAUUGUCAAUUGCGUGAUAAUAAACAAAGCAAUAUGUUAAUGGCUUUGUUUUUCAAGUUCAACAGUUCCGUUUCUUAAGCCUUUACAAAUAAUCGUCAACAUUAGUUGUUUACAGUGCUCUUGAUUGUUACAAAAUGUAAUGCUUAAAAUGUACUUGAGCUGUUUGGAAAGUGGUAUCAUUAGUUCUGUUAAUGAUUCCAUAGUUGGAUUAGUCGACAAAACCGAGCCGAAAGUUGAUAAAGUGGAUAAAGAUGACAAGAAAGAUGUUAAAAAGGAACCAGCCGAGACAACCAGCAAAAAAUUACCAGAUGAUAGUGUGGAUAAGCCAAGUGUUAACCACCCAACCCCGAUGGAACUCCAGCAAUUAAAAAUGGUGAUAAGUUGAAAAUUGGUGUAUUGCGAGGGAUGAUUGAAGAUCGUAUUUCUCCAUGGGCGACUUAUGUGGUCCAACCCGAAACAUCUAUAAUCUAUGAUCAAGUAUUUUAUAAUCCAAGUGAGAGAUAUACGGACAAGAGCAAGAAACCCUCAGCACCAACUAAUAUCAAAAUUUAUCAAAGUCACGUUGGUAUCAGCAGCCCAGAUUAUCAAGUUGCAAGUUACGAUUAUUUCAGAGAGAAAGUUCUUCCCCGGACCAAGAAACACGGUUACAAUGCGAUUCAAUUGAUGGCUAUUAUGGAACAUGCAUAUUAUGCUUCAUUUGGUUAUCAAGUUACUUCAUUUUUUGCACCCUCUUCCCGCUAUGGCACUCCCGAUUAGCUUAAACGUCUUAUCGAUGAAGGCAUUUACGUUCUUUUGGACAUAAUUCACAGCCAUGCUUGUAAAAAUGUAGACGAUGGUUUGAAUCGUUUUGAUGGAACCAAUAGUCAUUAUUUUCAUGACGUCCCAAGAGGUGAACAUACUCUUUGGGAUUCGCGUUUAUUUAACUACUCCAAUUGAGAGACACUUCGUUUUUUACUCUCAAAUUGUCAUUACUGGCUGGAAGAGUUCCAGUUCGUUGGUUUCCGUUUUGAUGGUGUAACAUCAAUGCUUUAUCAUUCACAUGGUAUUAGACAUGGUUUCUCUGGUGAUUACAAUGAAUACUUUGGCCUUAAUACGGAUACCGAGAGUUUCAAUAAUUUACAACUGGCCAACCAUGAAAUUCAUCAUUUCCAUCCCAAUGCAGUUACCAUAGCUGAAGAUGUUUCCGGAAUGCCUGCUCUCUGUCGACCCAUUUCAGAGGGUGAAGGAGGUUUUGAUCGUUUAGUUGUGGAAAUUCCUGAUAAAUGGAUUGAAUUACUUAAAGAGUGUAGCGAUGAAGAGUGGAAUAUCGGUAACCUUGUACAUACUGUUUCAAAUCGUCGUUGGAAAGAGAAAAUUAUUGCAUAUGCCGAAUCUUAUGAUCAGGCGUUGGUUGGUGGAUAAAGAAAUACUCAUCAUCAUUCACAAUUUACAUCAUUGGCCACAAAAAUCAAUAUUAUUUUAACCAAAAAAGUCACAAAUAAAACUUUUUUCAUAGAGAAUCGCAAAAUAUACUUGAAGGCCUAAUAUUUCAAAAUGAAAGUAAUGAGAGUCACCUAGGUUACAUUCAUAUGACAAUCCUAUUAGCGCCAUAACUCGAAAUCAUAAGAUUCUUGAAAACUGUUUUUGAGAAACAUUCAUAGACAAAGAGAUCUUAGUUUAACCUUUACACACUCAGGUGAUCUACUUUUGACUACAAUCCUUAAAUGAAAAUUUUAUCAUUCAUCUUAUAAUAAACUUUUAUAUAAUUUGUACAUGAAAUAUCAAUUUUUUGUAGUGAAAUGAAUGAAGAAAUUAGUAGGAAUUCUGAUAAAAGUAAGUUUUGUUUUUUUUCCACUCAGUUUUAAAAUACAUGUAAAUGUACCUGUAAAACAUUUUGUCAUAUCGAAACUCAAAAUAUACUUGACACACUAAUAAUGCAAAGUAAAAAUAUUGAGAGUCACCUAGUUUAGAUACAUAGGACUAAACUUGAAAUCUCGGCGAAGCUUCUUGGGGACUGGUUUUGAGAAACAUUCAUAGACUAAGAGAUCUUAGUUUAACCUUAACACACCCAGAAGCUGAUCUACUUUCAUUUACAACUUUUUGCCCUUAAAUGGAAAUUUUAUCAUUUAUCUCAUAAUAAACUUUUGUAAAUUUAUACCAACAAUAUUAUUUUUUGUCGUAAAAUGGAUGCCGAAGAUAACAGGUGUUCUGAUAAAAUUACAAUAAAAGUAAGGCUAUCGGAUGAGGAUUAUCAUGACAUUGCAAUUGAUUGGUCAAAUGAAAGUUUUGAUUUCAGGAAACAAUUGUUUCACCAGUUAUCAGCAUACACAGGAAUACUAGUUAUACAUCAAGAGUAUGUCAGUGUGUACAAUGUAGAUGAUCACCGAUGUGCCGGUAUAAAAAACGCCGAAUGCAGAAACGGAUAUGGGAAUGACUAUUAUGGUUGGAGAUAUGAUACCAAAGAGCGCGCAAUGAGAGCUUUGCAUGAUGGCGAUUGUUUUCUACUUGAAACAGAAAUGGUGUCAGACGGUUUUUAUCCUGGGAUUUACUGUAUGUAUGAACUGGUACAUAGAGAUCACGUUAGUGAAACUGGAUGUAACCAUCGUUAUUGUCAUUAUUUGGGUAGUCGACCUAUUACAAAGAAAAUUUUAGAGCUGAUAAAUUCAGAUUACUUACAAAAAGUUUUGGACGUUGAAGGACAAACAGUGGAGGACAGAGAUACGAUUAUAAAUAGAAUGCAACUUAAUUUGAACAUUAAACAUUUUACAGAGCUAAAGUGUAGUGCAAAGAUUUUAUUUUAUCCACGUUUAGGGUUGCGGAUACAUAGUAACUAUUUACGUUAUCGUGGUUGACCAAGCAAGCCUGAACGAGUCCAACCAAAAAAGAGCAUAAAAAAUGAUUUAUAAGAAAAAGUGGGGACAAAUCAGAAUCUUUAUUCAGAAACAGAAAACAUCACUUAUCAAUAACUUUUUGCAUUAAAAGAUGAAAAUUUAAAAAAA